Crotalus tigris (Tiger rattlesnake) is the source of this 1101-nucleotide long non-coding RNA. RefSeq lists it as uncharacterized. The transcript is spliced from 2 exons. The record is from RefSeq and is a predicted model, not a curated record. NCBI's taxonomy places the organism in Eukaryota, Metazoa, Chordata, Lepidosauria, Squamata, Viperidae.
CUUUUUUUUUCUUCUCCUCGCCCCCCCCCCCUCCGUCCUGCCUCCAGGAUUCGAGCACCAACCGGGACGAGGCUCUUUAGAACGAGGCGGACCGCGCGCGGCUCGUGAGCAACUCCCACUUUGUCCGUGGCGUGGAACAGCGCCAGAACAGGAGCUUCUCGGCUGCAGUUGUUGUUGCCAUGAUAAUGACGUCACGAGCCAGCCACCUUGGAGGGUUAAAGCAGAGGAGGGGGGAAGGGUGACAGUUGGUGAGCGAGAAAGGUUGGAUUCUCUUCUUCGCGUAGCAGCUUCGGCUCCAAAGCGAAUUUAAUAACUCGCGCGCACGUUUGGCUUAGAGAAUCGUGCUAUCGAUAGUUCGGCUUUGGAACUCCAAGGGCUGGGAAAAGUUAUACGGAGAGCGCAGUCGCGGUCAGGGACUGGACUGGUAACUUAAGGGAUCAUAUUUAGCCGCCAUUUCAGAAGUCGAGCCCUUUAGCUCAAAGGGAAGGGGGACACGUGGUAAAGGGGGCCGCAUGUCAAGCCCCUAAAGGCUUGCCAUACGAACGGGGACGGGGGAGCACGGAUAACGACCUACCAACCCGGGACACAGCUGAGCAUUGCCCCGCCACGCCCCAUGACUGCACCAGCCGAACGUCAACUGAGCAGACAUCUCCGCGGGCUGCGCCACAGACGCCAGCGAAGCCUAAGGGAGGCCAGUCACCGACGGGGUCGGAGGACCAUGAAUGCCAGCUGCGCUUUACGGAAGGGAGGGCGAUGGACGGGCCAUCUGGGGCCGAAAGGACUGCACUCCGGCGGCCGGACCCAGCAAAGGGGGGUGGGGGGUUAUCCUUUCGCAACCGGGACAGUAGGCAGGGUAAGUUUGGCGGCGGGCAACUGACGCGCAGUUCGGGCGCACGGACAACGGGGGGUGGGGGCGGAGUUCCGUCGGGGAAAGGGAAAGCACAGGGAAAGGGUGGAGCAUUUAUUCAUUUGAAGCGGAUGGUGGUUUGGAACCGGGGGCGGACCCAAAGGGUGGAGCACGCCAAUAUAUGGCGGUGGGAGGUAACUAACACCAGUGCUGACUUUAUCUCACCUGCAUAAUAAAGUGCUUGUUGGGUGUCA